Molecule: ribosomal RNA, 468 nt
Filed under: uncultured bacterium
Lineage: Bacteria
Description: partial 16S ribosomal RNA
Rfam family: Bacterial small subunit ribosomal RNA
Source: RNAcentral
GACGAACGCUGGCGGCGUGCUUAACACAUGCAAGUCGAACGGAAAGGCCCUGCUUUUGUGGGGUGCUCGAGUGGCGAACGGGUGAGUAACACGUGAGUAACCUGCCCUUGACUUUGGGAUAACUUCAGGAAACUGGGGCUAAUACCGGAUAGGAGCUCCUGCUGCAUGGUGGGGGUUGGAAAGUUUCGGCGGUUGGGGAUGGACUCGCGGCUUAUCAGCUUGUUGGUGGGGUAGUGGCUUACCAAGGCUUUGACGGGUAGCCGGCCUGAGAGGGUGACCGGGCCAAAGUGGGAUGGGAGAAGGGCCCGGACUCCUACGGAGGGAGGGGGGGGGGAAUUUGCCAAAAGGGGGGGAGGCGUGGGGCACCAACGCCGGGGGGGGAAGGACGGCCUUGGGGUUGAAAACCGUUUUCCCCUGUGACGAGGCGUGGGGGCGGGAAAUGGGUAAAAAAGCACCGGCUAACUACGU